CCACAGUAACUACAUAAUAAACCAUGGGUUAACUAUGGUUUUUGUAGUAAAACCAUAAUAACUACAUAAUAAACCAUGGUUUUACUAUGUUUUUUGUAGUAAAACCAUAGUAACUACAUAAUAAACCAUGGUUUAACUAUGGUUUUAGUAGUAAAGCCAUAGUAACUACGGAAUUAAUCAUGGUUUUACUGCAGUAACCAUGAUUUAUCUAUAGUUUUUGUAGAAAACCAUAGUAAUUGCAAAAUGAACUAUGGUUUACCACAGCAUUUUUAGUAGAACCAUUACAAAAUAACCCAUGGUUUUUCAAAAGUAUUAACUACAUAUUUAGUUAUUUCUUACUCUUAAAAAAAAAUAGGGCUCAAUAAAAUAAUCAUAAUUAAUCUCAUGAUUUCUGAAAAUGAAACAAUCAAAUUUGGCAAAUGUGUUGUCAGUUAUUACAAAAAAUACACUCUUAAAAAAUGGUUAUUUGGCAGGGUGUAUGGUUCCAUGAAGAACCUUUAAUAUCCAAAAGAACCUAUCCAUUGCACAAAAGGUUCUUUAGACUAUAUAAUGGUUCUUCACAAUCAACAUUUUUGUAAAUAUUUUUUCUGGAAAGUGAGAUCAAGUGAGAUAAAUGUUCCUAGCUGCCUGGUCCAGAACUCAUUCCAGACUCAUUUUCUUUUAGUUGUGUUCAAUUAAAGCUCAAUAAAGUAUUAAUUUUUAGUUAUAAAUAGUGUUUAAUUAAAAAAACACCAGUAGAUCAGUCCUUUUAUACUUUUUACUCCUAUUUUAAUGCUGUUUUGCAUGACUCAAAAAAUGUAUUAUGCUUAUUUAGCAAAAGCAAAGUUUAGUAUAAAAAUCAUGUUUUAAAAUGAAAUAAAAAGACUGAGUGAUACAAAUCUUAAAAUAUAAUUUAUUUAUUUUUUAUUUAUUUAUCCCACUAUCAUACAUUUUGCACCAAUGUAUUGGUCGUAGAACUACAAAAUGAGUUUCAAAUUCGCGAUUUAAAGAAAGAUUUUAAGAGGUUUAUGAAUGCUGCAUGACCGUGACGUGUUUAAAUGGACUCGAGCGCUGAAUUCGCGCGCUCAUUCAAAAGCUGCAGCUGAGGGAGUUGCCAUGGAAACGGUGCGCAACACUGUAACUGACGAACAGUAAAUCUCCGUCUCUCCUGCUGUUUUCACUGCUUUCAGGUGAGUUUAGUCCCUAAAAUCACACAAAUAUCACAUAUAACUGUUCCAGACACUUUCUUACAUGUAACUGACAUGUUUCUGUUGAAUAUUUACUUCACAGAAAUGUUUUACAGUCUUCGAAAAAGUCUGCUAGCAUCUGUUUUCAGAUGAGGAGUGAUAACAUAAUCUUUCUACAAAGGAAGAGAAGCUCCAAGAUUUUAAAAUUUCUGAAGGGAGCUGCUGACAGAAAUGCAGAAAACACAGAUUAUGAUGGCCGUGCUGCAGAGGAGCGCAGAGUCUCCUGUCGGACAACAUCUCUAAGUUGCUAUGUACCAUGUUACUAGAUCCUAUGUACCCAGCCUCAACCAUUCAUCAGAAGGACUGUGAAAGCAGGAACUCUUUGAACCACCAGUGGCAGUUUCCACGGGAUGAUAAAGGGCAUAGUAGUGGAUGAUGAGGUCCUGAGACCAUAUGGGGUGAAGAUCAAGACAACCAAACCAAAGGUGGACUGUAACCUACUGGACUAUAUGAUAGACUUCAUACUGACCACUACUGCCAUGUAUGCAGCAUGAAAAGUUUUUGAAAAGAGGGGCAUUUCCUUCACCAAGUAAAAGUGUGGAGGAUUCAUCUGGCCUUCAUCGGCCCCCAUGAGGUGACUCGAUGUAGAAUAAAUCAACUUGCUUUAGGCUUGAAAUGACUGAAAUCUUCUCAUGUGAGUUGAUAUCAUUUUAAACAUUCUUUAAAGUACUUCUCAUUUCUUGUGAAUGUAUUUUGUUGUAUGUGUAAAACUUUUCCACUGAAAGAACCUUUUUUACCUUCAUUGAUAUUGUAAUCAAGGUUGUUAAUGCGACCUUGAUGCACCCGAUGAUACUGCACACAAAAGCCUGUGUUGGGCUUGUGUUUACAGGUUGUAUAAAACUAGGCCUGGCUGCAACAACUAAUCGACAAUUAAAAUAAUCAUCAACGAAUUUGAAUAGUGCAUCCAAACAAACAGACCGCUCAUAAUUCUGACUAAAAUACACAUUUUGCUCAAAUAUUUUUUUGCUAGAAAUUAAGUGUAGGUUUAAAACCCUACAUGUAACACAAGUAAUCAUAUUUAUGAGAGCAGUAACAGUAAAGGCACUAUUGUUGGAACUGUCCAUUAAUAUAAUAUAAUAGCUCUGUUCAGACGAAUGAUUGUUUGUUCCUCGUACCUCUUACAAGUUAACAUUGUGUUUUUUUGUUUAAAUUGUUUUAAAUUCUGUUUCAAAAUAACAAGCAAUCUGUUGUUUUUAGGUUUAGAAUGUAAUGUUUGUAUUUUAACACUUUAAUGCUUAUAAUGAACAGCAGAGCCUACAUAGAUACAUUCAUUAUUUGUUUUCAUAGGCAGGAUGUGAAAUGACAUUCUUUAAAAUAAUGGAUUAAAAUUAUUUUAAUUAAAAAAUUAUGUAUAUAUUUUAUUUAUUUAUUUGUCAUCCAAUUACUAGUAUUAAUAAAAAAAAAAAAUCUACAAAUAAAUUGGUUAUCCAAAAAAAAUUGUUAGUUGCAUGCAGCCCUACAAAAGAUAUUGUUAAAGAGGUCGGCGGUAUAAUGUUAUGUGUGAACACGAAGUCAUGUUUAUUUGUACAACAUGUAAUUAAUUUCUAUAGAGAUAAUGCAUUAUUACAGUGAAACAAUUAGCUAUUUUUAUUUUGUAAAUUAGCAGAAAACCAUCUCUACCACUGCAGUGCUUUAUCACUAUUUUUUAAAUAAAGUUAUAGUUCAUAGUUCUGAAUCAUUUUGACAUGUGACAACAAUAUUUUGUUUCAGAUGAUGUAACUGCUAUAAUAAAGCCUGUAUCAUAGAAUAGUAGUUCUAUGUAGUAAAACCAUGGUAUCAGAACGGUAUGCACCAAAAAACCACGGGUACUACAGUCAUGGUUAACUACAGUUUUACUAUAGUAAAACCAUGGUUAAUUUUCGUAAGUGAAUUGAUGAUACAGUAAGCCUUAACCAU
This is a long non-coding RNA of Onychostoma macrolepis, 3122 nucleotides long. RefSeq lists it as uncharacterized. The transcript has 5 exons. The record is from RefSeq and is a predicted model, not a curated record. Lineage: Eukaryota; Metazoa; Chordata; Actinopteri; Cypriniformes; Cyprinidae.